GGUUAAGUGACUAAGCGUACACGGUGGAUGCCUAGGCAAUCAGAGGCGAAGAAGGACGUGCUAAUCUGCGAAAAGCUUGGAUGAGUUGAUAAGAAGCGUUUAAUCCAAGAUAUCCGAAUGGGGAAACCCGAUGGAUGAAGAAUCCAUCAUUUCAUUAUGAAUCCAUAGUAAUGAAAGGCAAACCGGGAGAACUGAAACAUCUAAGUACCCCGAGGAAAAGAAAUCAACCGAGAUUUUGUCAGUAGCGGCGAGCGAAAACGAAAGAGCCAGCAAGUGAUAGCAGCAAAGACAGAAGAAUUGGCUGGGAAGCCAAGCGACACAGGGUGAUAGCCCCGUAUUUUAAGUUUAUGUUGUGGUACUAAACUUGCAACAAGUAGGGCGGGACACGAGAAAUCCUGUUUGAAGAUGGGGGGACCAUCCUCCAAGGCUAAAUACUCCUG
RNAcentral lists this ribosomal RNA (440 nucleotides) under Glaesserella parasuis. Its description in RNAcentral is "partial 23S ribosomal RNA". It matches the Rfam family "Bacterial large subunit ribosomal RNA", at positions 1 to 478 of the family's 2925-position model. The record is from RNAcentral. Lineage: Bacteria; Pseudomonadati; Pseudomonadota; Gammaproteobacteria; Pasteurellales; Pasteurellaceae.